RNAcentral lists this ribosomal RNA (423 nucleotides) under uncultured Glomeromycotina. RNAcentral's name for it is "SSU rRNA". It matches the Rfam family "Eukaryotic small subunit ribosomal RNA", at positions 671 to 1092 of the family's 1831-position model. Lineage: Eukaryota; Fungi; Glomeromycota. The record is from RNAcentral.
CGGUACGUACUGGCAUUGUUGGUUUCUCCCUUCUGACGAACCAUGAUGUCAUUUAUUUGGUGUUGUGGGGAAUCAGGACUGUUACUUUGAAAAAAUUAGAGUGUUUAAAGCAGGCUCACGCUUGAAUACAUUAGCAUGGAAUAAUGAAAUAGGACGUUUGAUUCUAUUUUGUUGGUUUCUAGGAUCGACGUAAUGAUUAAUAGGGAUAGUUGGGGGCAUUAGUAUUCAAUUGUCAGAGGUGAAAUUCUUGGAUUUAUUGAAGACUAACUACUGCGAAAGCAUUUGCCAAGGAUGUUUUCAUUAAUCAAGAACGAAAGUUAGGGGAUCGAAGACGAUCAGAUACCGUCGUAGUCUUAACCAUAAACUAUGCCGACUAGGGAUCGGAUGAUGUUAAUUUUUUAGUGACUCAUUCGGCGCCUUACG